GUGCUCACCUCGACAGCACAUAUACUAAAAUUAGGACAAUACAGAGAAGAUUAGCAUAGCUCCUGCACAAGGAUGACACGCAAAUUCUUGAACAAGUAUGCUACUCC
This is a small nuclear RNA of Nycticebus coucang (slow loris), 107 nucleotides long. The record is from RefSeq and is a predicted model, not a curated record. Lineage: Eukaryota; Metazoa; Chordata; Mammalia; Primates; Lorisidae.